AUUGAACGCUGGCGGCAGGCCUAACACAUGCAAGUCGAGCGGAUGAAGGGAGCUUGCUCCUGGAUUCAGCGGCGGACGGGUGAGUAAUGCCUAGGAAUCUGCCUGGUAGUGGGGGAUAACGUCCGGAAACGGGCGCUAAUACCGCAUACGUCCUGAGGGAGAAAGUGGGGGAUCUUCGGACCUCACGCUAUCAGAUGAGCCUAGGUCGGAUUAGCUAGUUGGUGGGGUAAAGGCCUACCAAGGCGACGAUCCGUAACUGGUCUGAGAGGAUGAUCAGUCACACUGGAACUGAGACACGGUCCAGACUCCUACGGGAGGCAGCAGUGGGGAAUAUUGGUCAAUGGGCGAAAGCCUGAUCCAGCCAUGCCGCGUGUGUGAAGAAGGUCUUCGGAUUGUAAAGCACUUUAAGUUGGGAGGAAGGGCAGUAAGUUAAUACCUUGCAGUUUUGACGUUACCAACAGAAUAAGCACCGGCUAACUUCGUG
This 484-nucleotide ribosomal RNA is filed under the name uncultured bacterium. RNAcentral describes it as "partial 16S ribosomal RNA". It matches the Rfam family "Bacterial small subunit ribosomal RNA", at positions 30 to 507 of the family's 1533-position model. The record is from RNAcentral.